RNAcentral lists this ribosomal RNA (511 nucleotides) under uncultured Desulfobulbus sp. RNAcentral describes it as "bacterial SSU rRNA". It matches the Rfam family "Bacterial small subunit ribosomal RNA", at positions 903 to 1381 of the family's 1533-position model. The record is from RNAcentral. Lineage: Bacteria; Pseudomonadati; Thermodesulfobacteriota; Desulfobulbia; Desulfobulbales; Desulfobulbaceae.
CGCCUUGCCAGCCCGCUCAGAAACUCAAAGGAAUUGACGGGGCCCGCACAAGCGGUGGAGUAUGUGGUUUAAUUCGAUGCAACGCGAGAACCUUACCUGGUCUUGACAUCCCGGAGACCCUUAGGAAACUAGGGGGUGCUUCCAUCUGGAAGAAUCUGGAGACAGGUGCUGCAUGGCUGUCGUCAGCUCGUGUCGUGAGAUGUUGGGUUAAGUCCCGCAACGAGCGCAACCCUUGCCUUUAGUUGCCAGCAGUUCGGCUGGGCACUCUAAAGGGACUGCCGGUGUUAAACCGGAGGAAGGUGGGGAUGACGUCAAGUCCUCAUGGCCUUUAUGACCAGGGCUACACACGUACUACAAUGGCCGAUACAAAGGGCAGCGACACUGCGAGGUGAAGCCAAUCCCGUAAAAUCGGUCUCAGUCCGGAUUGGAGUCUGCAACUCGACUCCAUGAAGUUGGAAUCGCUAGUAAUCGGUGGACUUCACGCACUGCCACGGUAGAAUACGUCCGGUCU